GACGAACGCUGGCGGCGUGCUUAACACAUGCAAGUCGAACGUGAUUUUUGUGGAAAUUCUUUCGGGAAUGGAAAUGAAAUGAAAGUGGCGAACGGGUGAGUAACACGUGAGCAACCUACCUUACACAGGGGGAUAGCCGUUGGAAACGACGAUUAAUACCGCAUGAGACCACAGAAUCGCAUGAUAUAGGGGUCAAAGAUUUAUCGGUGUAAGAAGGGCUCGCGUCUGAUUAGCUAGUUGGAAGGGUAAAGGCCUACCAAGGCGACGAUCAGUAGCCGGUCUGAGAGGAUGAACGACCACAUUGGAACUGAGACACGGUCCAAACUCCUACGGGAGGCAGCAGUGGGGAAUAUUGCACAAUGGGGGGAACCCUGAUGCAGCGACGCCGCGUGAGCGAAGAAGGUUUUCGAAUCGUAAAGCUCUGUCCUAUGAGAAGAUAAUGACGGUAUCAUAGGAGGAAGCCCCGGCUAAAUACGUG
Molecule: ribosomal RNA, 478 nt
Filed under: uncultured bacterium
Lineage: Bacteria
Description: partial 16S ribosomal RNA
Rfam family: Bacterial small subunit ribosomal RNA
Source: RNAcentral